This 208-nucleotide ribosomal RNA is filed under the name uncultured bacterium. Its description in RNAcentral is "partial 16S ribosomal RNA". It matches the Rfam family "Bacterial small subunit ribosomal RNA", at positions 568 to 774 of the family's 1533-position model. The record is from RNAcentral.
UGCGUAGGCGGUCAGGUAAGUCUAAAGUGAAAGCUCCGGGCUUAACCCGGAAAUGGCUUUGGAUACUAUCUGGCUAGAGGGCCGGAGAGGGGGACUGGAAUUCUCGGUGUAGCAGUGAAAUGCGUAGAUAUCGAGAGGAACACCAGUGGCGAAAGCGAGUCCCUGGACGGCAUCUGACGCUGAGGCACGAAAGCCAGGGUAGCAAACG